This 194-nucleotide microRNA precursor is filed under the name Oryza brachyantha (malo sina). Its description in RNAcentral is "MIR812 microRNA precursor family". It matches the Rfam family "MIR812 microRNA precursor family". The record is from Rfam by way of RNAcentral. Lineage: Eukaryota; Viridiplantae; Streptophyta; Magnoliopsida; Poales; Poaceae.
AAUAAACCAAUUUUUCAUUUUUUAUUUUUAGUUUUUGACUUUUCGUCUUAUUCAAAAAAAAUUUAAAAUUGAUAUUUUUGUUUUUAUUAGAUAAUAAAUCAUGAAUAGUACUUUACGUGUGACUAUUUUUUUCUAAUUUUCUAAAAAAAAUUUAAAUAAGACCGAUGAUCAAACGUUGGACAUGAAAAUCGGAG